Long non-coding RNA from Brassica napus (rape), 773 nucleotides. RefSeq lists it as uncharacterized. NCBI's taxonomy places the organism in Eukaryota, Viridiplantae, Streptophyta, Magnoliopsida, Brassicales, Brassicaceae. The transcript is spliced from 6 exons. The record is from RefSeq and is a predicted model, not a curated record.
UCCUAGUUGUUAAUAAAUGGAAAGAGUCUUAACGGUUUCAGUGCUGCCCAGAUGUUUAGAGAAUAUCAAGAUGUCUGAUACGGCCUUACUGGGGGAUCAGAAUUCUUUUGGUUCAAUGGAAAAUUAGCUCAGCAGUCCAGUGAGAAAGUGUUGAAGGAUGCAAUGAAACCAUCACAAAACAGUUCUGCUUAUGUCUAUGAAAGCUGGCGUCGAACUGAAUCUAACCGCUUCUUCACACAUCUUCUUAACGAAAAGAAUGGCAUGUGGAAGAAGCUUCAUUGUUAAAACCAGGUCACCUUCUACACUCCUGGGCGUGACAAGUCAGAUAAUAGGAAAACAAAAGCUUGCUACAUGUCUCUCUAAGGUAGUUUUGUUGCUUCCUGAAUUGGUCUAAACAAGCAGAAGAAGGCUAAGGGAAACCGGAACAUUAUCUUCUGGUUGGACACAGAAGCGCUUGGAAUGCAUUGGAUCGUUUGGUGCAAGAAAAUUUUAUGUCUAAGAAACCAGAGGAGAAGAAGGUGGUCAAGUAAAGUGAUGGAAGAUCUAACUCCAUUAAUGGAGCUAUAAUAGGAGGAAGUUUUAUGCUUGGAUCAACAAGUCUCCACCCAUAAAUGUAGACAAGACAAUCAGUUUUUUUUUUUUUUUUGCAAUUAUUAUUUGAUCCCAAUAGUCCAAAAACUACCGUUGACGAAGCCUUUUUCUUUUGUAUUUCUCAUUCACUAUAAUAAAAAAUUCAAAUUUCUUCUUGAUUUUGCCUUUAUGUGAUAGAUUAA